GCAAAAAAUUUAUAAUUUGAUAGUUUAAUUACUAUUUUAGGCAUGGUUCUAGCACUGAAAAGAAUCACUGAAGCGUGGAUUCAUCUAUGGCGAUGGUGCAUUCUAGCCUUAAAUCCUUACUAAAAUUUCCGAUUGCGACCCGCUACAUUGCUAUUACAUCGUUGUCUUCUUCCUUCUGCUGGCACCACCGUAGCCGCGCCUGCUCAAUCUUCUGGGUUCACAAAGCAACGCCGACGAGGAGUUGGCCGGUAAUCAGGGAACGAGUUCAAGGAAUUAGGGCAGCAUUUCCGGAGAAUUUCAACACCGCCGCAUGUUCCAGUACCGGCGAUGAUAAUUCUACAGGCGGCCGGGAAUACUUGAUGAUGUCAGACGAGCAGCUGCUGCGGCAGUGCGAGAUGGAGACGUUCAAGUCGUCGGGCCCCGGCGGACAGCACCGCAACAAGAGAGAGUCUGCUGUGCGGCUCAAGCACCGUCCCACUGGUGUUGUUGCACAGGCCGCGGAAGAUAGGUCACAGCACAUGAAUCGGGCGUCGGCACUUAAUCGGUUGCGAGCUCAACUGGCUCUCAAAGUGAGGAACAGCAUAGAUCUUGAUGAUUACACACCUCCACAAGAGCUAAUUCAAAUACUCCCUGCAAAUUCAUCAAUUAAGGGACCCAAUUCUGGGCCUAAGAUUGGACCAAAUAAUCCAAAAUUUAUUAUGGGAAUGCAAGCAUUACUUGAUCUAAUUUUUGUUGUUGAGGGCUCUGUAUCUGACGCUGCUAAGAAGUUGGGGUAUGUGGUUAAGCACUGGGGCUUUAUCAAGGCUUAUACUAUCUGAUGAUUCUCUUAGAAUGGCUGUUAAUGAAUUCAGAACGUCUAAGGGUAUGAAACCUCUCAAGUAGGAUUACUGUCAAAUAUGAAAUCUCUCAGCGUGCUGAUAAUAUUUCAGUCUCAUGCAUCUACUUCAAGUUUAUCUGUUCUUUGGCUUGGUCCAUCAAACAUUGGAGGCAACAAACUGACUUUGCACUAAAAGAGAAUCCGCUCCUUAUUUUCUUGGCAUUUAUUGACCAUUUUGAACGAGAACUGCCAAUCAUUGAAGGAACACGCAGAUGACGGAAGUACAAAAAAACACUCCAAGUCCAAUGUUCAAGAUUUUCACUGGAGGAGCCUGGGAAUUGGUUUCAACUUUCAAUGCAGAACACUCUGAAAUCUGACCCUUUUGCCCUCUGUGGCAUGCAGGUCUGACAUUUCUGCUGGAUCUUAUUUGUCGUAUUUGUUAAUGACCUUUAGGGAAAUUCAAUGACAAAAUCUGUUUAUUUCAUUAUCGAGUAAGCACAUAAUGUGGGUCUUGGAAUACUUGUUAUCAAGGAUCUCUAUUGCGUGGUUGGACCA
RNA transcript from Ipomoea nil (Japanese morning glory), 1372 nucleotides. RefSeq lists it as uncharacterized. The record is from RefSeq and is a predicted model, not a curated record. NCBI's taxonomy places the organism in Eukaryota, Viridiplantae, Streptophyta, Magnoliopsida, Solanales, Convolvulaceae. The transcript has 7 exons.